Molecule: non-coding RNA, 29 nt
Filed under: Rattus norvegicus (Norway rat)
Lineage: Eukaryota; Metazoa; Chordata; Mammalia; Rodentia; Muridae
Source: RNAcentral
UAAAGAAAACAUAUAUGCAGUACCGCCUC